RNAcentral lists this transfer RNA (86 nucleotides) under Metaclostridioides mangenotii. RNAcentral describes it as "tRNA-Tyr". It matches the Rfam family "tRNA". From Rfam's summary of the family: Transfer RNA (tRNA) molecules are approximately 80 nucleotides in length. Their secondary structure includes four short double-helical elements and three loops (D, anti-codon, and T loops). Further hydrogen bonds mediate the characteristic L-shaped molecular structure. tRNAs have two regions of fundamental functional importance: the anti-codon, which is responsible for specific mRNA codon recognition, and the 3' end, to which the tRNAs corresponding amino acid is attached (by aminoacyl-tRNA synthetases). tRNAs cope with the degeneracy of the genetic code in two manners: having more than one tRNA (with a specific anti-codon) for a particular amino acid; and 'wobble' base-pairing, i.e. permitting non-standard base-pairing at the 3rd anti-codon position. The record is from RNAcentral. Lineage: Bacteria; Bacillati; Bacillota; Clostridia; Peptostreptococcales; Peptostreptococcaceae.
GGAGGAUUUCCCGAGUUGGCCAAAGGGGGCAGACUGUAAAUCUGUUAGCUUCGCUUUCGGUGGUUCGAAUCCACCAUCCUCCACCA